AGUGAACGCUGGCGGUAGGCCUAACACAUGCAAGUCGAACGGCAGCACAGUAAGAGCUUGCUCUUACGGGUGGCGAGUGGCGGACGGGUGAGGAAUACAUCGGAAUCUACUUUUUCGUGGGGGAUAACGUAGGGAAACUUACGCUAAUACCGCAUACGACCUACGGGUGAAAGCAGGGGAUCUUCGGACUUUGCGCGAUUGAAUGAGCCGAUGUCGGAUUAGCUAGUUGGCGGGGUAAAGGCCCACCAAGGCGACGAUCCGUAGCUGGUCUGAGAGGAUGAUCAGCCACACUGGAACUGAGACACGGUCCAGACUCCUACGGGAGGCAGCAGUGGGGAAUAUUGGACAAUGGGCGCAAGCCUGAUCCAGCCAUACCGCGUGAGUGAAGAAGGCCUUCGGGUUGUAAAGCCCUUUUGUUGGGAAAGAAAAGCAGCAGGUUAAUACCCCGCUGUUCUGACGGUACCCAAAGAAUAAGCACCGGCUAACUUCGUG
RNAcentral lists this ribosomal RNA (492 nucleotides) under uncultured bacterium. Its description in RNAcentral is "partial 16S ribosomal RNA". It matches the Rfam family "Bacterial small subunit ribosomal RNA", at positions 29 to 507 of the family's 1533-position model. The record is from RNAcentral.